GGGGAAUAUUGCACAAUGGGCGAAAGCCUGAUGCAGCGACGCCGCGUGAGGGAUGACGGCCUUCGGGUUGUAAACCUCUUUCAGUAGGGAAGAAGCCUUUGGGUGACGGUACCUGCAGAAGAAGCGCCGGCUAACUACGUGCCAGCAGCCGCGGUAAUACGUAGGGCGCGAGCGUUGUCCGGAAUUAUUGGGCGUAAAGAGCUCGUAGGCGGUUUGUCGCGUCUGCUGUGAAAUCCUCAGGCUCAACUUGAGGCGUGCAGUGGGUACGGGCAGACUAGAGUGCGGUAGGGGAGACUGGAAUUCCUGGUGUAGCGGUGGAAUGCGCAGAUAUCAGGAGGAACACCGAUGGCGAAGGCACGUCUCUGGGCCGUUACUGACGCUGAGGAGCGAAAGCAUGGGGAGCGAACA
Molecule: ribosomal RNA, 408 nt
Filed under: uncultured Salana sp.
Lineage: Bacteria; Bacillati; Actinomycetota; Actinomycetes; Micrococcales; Beutenbergiaceae
Description: bacterial SSU rRNA
Rfam family: Bacterial small subunit ribosomal RNA
Source: RNAcentral